AUCUUAGGCAUGUCAAUCACACU
RNAcentral lists this non-coding RNA (23 nucleotides) under Arabidopsis thaliana (thale cress). The record is from RNAcentral. Lineage: Eukaryota; Viridiplantae; Streptophyta; Magnoliopsida; Brassicales; Brassicaceae.